RNAcentral lists this transfer RNA (72 nucleotides) under Camelus bactrianus (Bactrian camel). It matches the Rfam family "tRNA". From Rfam's summary of the family: Transfer RNA (tRNA) molecules are approximately 80 nucleotides in length. Their secondary structure includes four short double-helical elements and three loops (D, anti-codon, and T loops). Lineage: Eukaryota; Metazoa; Chordata; Mammalia; Artiodactyla; Camelidae. RNAcentral also lists the same sequence under 3 other names. The record is from Rfam by way of RNAcentral.
GAGGGUGUAGCUCAGUGGUAGAGCGCAUGCUUAGCAGGCAUGAGGUCCUGGGUUCAAUCCCCAGUACCUCCA